UACAGAGGUCCCAAGCGUUGUUCGGAUUCACUGGGCGUAAAGGGUGCGUAGGCGGUCGGGUAAGUCUGAUGUGAAAUCUCACAGCUUAACUGUGAAACUGCAUUGGAUACUAUUCGGCUUGAGAGUUGGAGGGGGGACUGGAAUUCUUGGUGUAGCAGUGAAAUGCGUAGAUAUCAAGAGGAACACCAGUAGCGAAGGCGAGUCCCUGGACAACUUCUGACGCUGAGGCACGAAAGCUAGGGGAGCAAACAGG
This 253-nucleotide ribosomal RNA is filed under the name uncultured bacterium. RNAcentral's name for it is "partial 16S ribosomal RNA". It matches the Rfam family "Bacterial small subunit ribosomal RNA", at positions 524 to 776 of the family's 1533-position model. The record is from RNAcentral.